GGCCUGGCUGCUCAGACUCUAUUAAUGGGGUUUCCCUGGAGAUGGGGCCUGAGUGCACCAGAGGGUCAGCAAGAUGGUGUCAGAGUCCCAACUCCUCAUCCUCCUGGUGCUCUGGGUCUCAGGUGCCUGUGGAGACAUUGUGAUGACUCAGACUCCAGACUCUGUGGCUGGGUCUCCAGGAGAGAAAAUCACCAUGAAGUGCAAGUCCAGCCAGAGUGUUAGCAGCUAUCUAGCCUGGUACCAGCAGAAACCUGGACAGGCUCCUAAACUGCUCAUCUAUAGUGCAUCUACCCGGGCAUCUGGGGUCUCUGACCGAUUCAGUGGCAGUGGGUCGGGGACAGAUUUCACUUUCACGAUCAGCAGUUUCCAGCCUGAGGAUGUGGGACUUUAUUACUGUCAGCAAUAUAAUAGCUAUACUCCCACAGUGCUUCAGCUUCAAACAAAAACCUCCUCCCCAGGGCUGUAGGUCUGUGAGUCCAGA
Molecule: non-coding RNA, 481 nt
Organism: Choloepus didactylus (southern two-toed sloth)
Lineage: Eukaryota; Metazoa; Chordata; Mammalia; Pilosa; Megalonychidae
Source: the annotation of a RefSeq genome assembly